CAUAACCUGCGUCAGAUCCUAAUGUGCCACUCGGUGAGAUUUCACACACAGGCACCGCAGGGAUCGCCAGCACCCCGAGAAGGACCCCUCCAUCCCUGCCCACAGUGUGUGCCUCCAGGGUUAACUGCCUGGACUUCUGGAUUCUUUCCUCUUUUUUUUUUUUUUUUUUGGUACAGUGGAUCGAACUCGGGACCUUGUGCUUGCAAGCCACCUGUCCCCAUCCCUUGUUGGAGAACUCACACCCAUAUCCACGAUGAUGGAACAGAGGCUGUAGAAAGGAGGAAAUGGUGACAAAAAGGGCAGCUGAGAACGGCCAGAGCAGUGUCCUCAGGUGGGAGGGGACAGGAUCUGCUGCCUCGGGGAGAGGUGGCCUCGGUCCAGAGCAAGGUGGCUCCCCAGGCACUGAGGUAAGCCACGAGCAUCCUCUUCCGUUUUCUCAGUGAAACAGGAAGCAAGGUCAGCACCACAGGCAGAGGACACGAGGGAAGGUUGGGAGCCCAAGGAGAGAAGAGGAGAGUGGGAAGGGAAAUGGACUGGGGAAGUAUGAGAUAACUGCCCGGGUACUGCAGCCUGCUGAGAGGAAAGAGGCUGAGCUGAGAGUGAGGCCAGACCUUGGGCCUGGAGCUUCUCUGUGGCCACAGGCAGAGGGCAGAUGCAGGUGGGUUGGCAGAUGUUCCAGCUGCCGUCCUCCAGGCCACUGUGGCCAGGUUCUCUGCUCCUCAGGCAGGAUGUCUGCCCCACAUCCCAGGACCACUUGACCCUCAAAGCGGGGAACAUCCUGCCCUGAAAUCUGGCCAGAAAGCAAGCACCAGGGAAGCCACCAGCAAGCCCUUCACUCCCCCCCACUCUCCCCCUUGUCUUUCCAGCUCAGUCUUCCAUGACAAGUUUAUUUUCUCACAGUUCAGGAGGCUGGAAGUCCACACUCAACGUGCCAGCCUGGUUGGGUUCUAGCCAGGGACCUCUUCCUGGCUUGCACAUGAUCACCUUUAAUGGAGUCUUUAUACAGAGGAGAAACAGCAAGAAAGCUCUCCCAUAUCUCUUGUUACAAGGGCACUAAUGCCAUGAUGAGGGACCCGCCCCUGCAGCCUCAUCCAAACUUAGUUAUCUCCCAAGGACCCUAUCUCCGAAAGCCAUCACUCUGGGAUGAGGGCUUCCACAUGGGACCUGGGGUUGGGGUGGGGACGCCCUGUAGUUCACCGCCCCUCAUGACCUGCUCUCAGUCUCUAACAAGGACCACACACAUGCCCAGGUGCCGGGCUUCAGAACAGAGGAGGGACGGAAAUGCGUCCUGGCUCUUACAAGACAUGUUUGUAUCACAGCAACCCCAGUGGGACAAAAAGAGGAGUGUUUCAUGUUUGUACUUUCUAUGGUGUAUCUUCCAGAGCUAUGAUGCCCAGUGUGGUAGCCACUGGCCACAUGUGGCUUGACAUGUCGGAGCUGUUUCAAAGACCAAAUGGGCAAAAUACUGAAAAUACAGUAUCUCCUAAUCUUGGAUAUUAAUUACCUGUCGAAAUGAUAGUAUAUUGGCUUUAUUGCGUUGAAGUAUAUUAUGAAGUUAAUUUCAUCUCUUUAUUCACUUUUAAAAUAUGGUUGCUAGAAAAUUUAACAGUAGACCCGUGGCUUACAUUUCUGCCCUGCAUCCCACUCCUGUUGGAUCAGGCAUGCAUAGAGGACCUGCGUUAGGCACUUUCCUUGUCCCUGGAACAAAAUAUCCAACACCCACAGCUUAAAGGAAGAGAGGUCUAGUUUGGCUCACAAUCCGUAGCGGUUUCAGUCUGUGCUCAGCUGGCUCCAACUCUGGGCAGCCUGACAGUGAGGCGUGGGAAGGGGAGCUGCAGGGCAGGCAGGAAGCAAAGGGUGAGGGGAGCUGGGAGGGAGAGCGACCCUUCCAGCCCUGCCCCAGCGACCCGCCUUCUACAACCAGGCCCCUCCUAACAGGGAGUCGCCACAGGGUCCCAAAUUCACUCACGUUCCCAAAGCCUCACCUAUGAGUAUGGGAGGCCGUGAAAGGACAGACGUAAACCGUGAGAGGGCCCUACAUCCCGGACAUCGGCAGCGGCCUUCUGCCCUAGGGCAGUGUUCAUAGCACAGCAGAUAAAGCUUUCACCCAGGCGUGGUCUGGGCUCUGCUGUGGAAUUUAAGGCAUGGGGCCGCACCUCUAGGAGGCUGGGGUCACAGGGGGCUCGGGAGGACACUGCCUCAGUCACAGCGGCCUUCACACUGGGGCUUGGGGCUCCACCGCUGGUCUCCGUAUGUCUGACCUGGCUGCUGCUGGUGUGAUUCAGAGACACAGAAAUAACGCCUUUUAAAACGCUAGACGCCCCUCAGGCACAAGAUGCCCACAUUUUGGGACUCAUAACCGCUUAUUCUGUUCCCCUGAGCUCUCCUUUCCCGGGUCAGGAAGCCCAGGAGAUCCUCAGCACCAUUUGCAUUUCCUCUUUUCCUUUUUUUCUUUCCCCAAGAAAAUAAGUGAUUUUUUUUUUUUUUGAAAAUAAGUGAAUUUUAUGUAAGGUAGAAAAUACCUGUGGGGCCAUUCCACUGAAUUUCAUAUACCCAUUCCCAUUUGCUAUUUAUUAAAUUUGGCUAUUAGUAUCCUAUUGUAAUACCCACGUAUAUAGCACAAUUAUUUCCCCGUUGUUCAGCUUUGGAAUAAUUUCCCCUUUUCCUCUUAUCACACACAGUAAAGCUAUGAAUAUCUUUUUUUUCCAUUUGAAUUAUUUUAUUGGAAUGUUUUCCCUGAAGUAAAAUUGGUUGGCUAGAAAGAAUAUACAAUUUAAUGGCUCCUGAGAUUUUUUUCUUCACAUCACUCUCUCAAAGGACUAUCACAUGUCCUGCCUCCCGUGUGGGUACAGGUUCCUAUCCUGCUUUCACACAGACCUGCCAGAUCUGGGUGUGAUCAUUUGUAUUUAUUUUCACUAGUUUACAGAAGAUAUCUCUUAGACAUUAUAUCUGCAUUUACUGAAUUGCUAGUGAGAACGAGUAAGUUCCUCUUAAAACCCAGAAAAAAUAAAAUAAACGGCUACAUCAAUAGAUUUUUUUAAAAAAAUACUUUUCAGCUAGGCGUGCUGGUGCAUGCCUGUAAUCGCAGCACUUUGGGAGGCUGAGGCAGGAGGAUCCCAAGUUCCAACCCAGCCUGGACAAUUUAGUGAGCCUCUGUUUCACAUUUAAAAAUAAAAAGGGGGCUGGGGCUGGGCAUAUAGCACCGCGUGAAGGUCCUGGGUUCAACCUCAGUACUAGGGAAGGGGGGAACCUUACAGUUUUUCCAUGUGUCCGGAUUUGGGGGAUACCCACGGCUGACCCCAAGGCUGAAUGUGGCCGACCCCGAAUCACUGUUGUCAUAGUGGCCCAAGAAGGCUGCUCCAGCUGAUAAAGCCAUCUAUUUGCUCUGGGCAACCUGAAAGCACAGCGGACAGUCCCUUCCCUGCAAGCUUCAGAUGAGUCCUGGCAUUUCGUAAUUGCCAUAUGUUGCUUGCUCAGGAUCAAGACACAUUCUAUUUUAUAUGCAAAAAGAUUGCCGGAGACACUGCCUGAUCUUUCGCGCACGGGUUAUUAAAACCUCCGGAAGGCCUCAGUCCCUGCGACAGGGAACCUCCCGGAGCCGCAUCCCGUGCCCGGAGGCGCCCGUGACCAGGAGAGGGCACUGUGGGCCCGGCCCCGGGGAGAGGAUCGGGACGCUCCCGGCAUGACCGCUAGAUGGCGCCUCACAAUAACGAAUGGACCGGACGCCCUUGAGAGCGCGGCCGGGCUCCGCAGCCUCCGCUCGCCAAGCCCACUCAGACAUCUCCUGCGCAGAAAUACUGAAACGUUCAUUCCAGGUGAAAAUACACCAGCUGCCGGUGAAAAACCACGCUCGGCGCUGUCACGUCAGCACCCGAUGCAGGUUAAUAACCGGCUCUGGAGCAGAGG
This 3906-nucleotide long non-coding RNA is filed under the name Heterocephalus glaber (naked mole-rat). Its description in RNAcentral is "lncRNA (ENSHGLG00000049338.1)". The record is from RNAcentral. Lineage: Eukaryota; Metazoa; Chordata; Mammalia; Rodentia; Bathyergidae.